CGCAUCUGUGCAUGCAGCAUAUCAAUAAGCGGAGGAAAAGAAACUAACAAGGAUUCCCCUAGUAACGGCGAGUGAAGCGGGAAGAGCUCAAAUUUGAAAUCUUAAAGGGUUUCCCUUUACGAAUUGUAGUUUAAGGAAGUGUUUUCUGUUGAGGUUUUGGUAAAAGUUCUUUGGAAUAGGGACAUCAUAGAGGGUGAGAAUCCCGUAUUUGACCUUUACUUUCAACUUUGUGAUACACUUUCAAAGAGUCGGAUUGUUUGGGAAUGCAGUCCAAAAUGGGUGGUAAAUUUCAUCUAAAGCUAAAUAUUGGCGAGAGACCGAUAGCGAACAAGUACCGUGAGGGAAAGAUGAAAAGAACUUUGAAAAGAGAGUUAAACAGUACGUGAAAUUGUCAAAAGGGAAGCGUUUGACACCAGUGUUGUUUUUCUGAAAAUCAAUUAAAGAACUGUUUAUGCUAAGUUGUUUAGACUUUAUCAGCUAACUGUUUAGUUUUGAGCUUUUCUUUAAUGCACCUUUCAGUUAACAAGUCAACAUCAAUUUCUUUUGCUGUAAAAAGCUUGAGGAAGGUGGCUUGAGAUUCGUCUUAAGUGUUUAUAGCCUCUUGCCUAUGCAGUCGGAGAGAUUGAGGUCUGCAGCGUAGAUCCUUCGGGGCUAAAUGCAUUUGUGCUAAGUUAUAACAUUUUAUAGACAACUUGUUGACUAUGAUUUGUCUUGUAGCUUACUCGCUUAUGUUAUUUUACCUACGCUUAGGAUGUUGAGCGCAUGUCUCUCUC
RNAcentral lists this ribosomal RNA (773 nucleotides) under uncultured Neocallimastigales. RNAcentral describes it as "partial large subunit ribosomal RNA". It matches the Rfam family "Eukaryotic large subunit ribosomal RNA", at positions 26 to 617 of the family's 3401-position model. The record is from RNAcentral. Lineage: Eukaryota; Fungi; Neocallimastigomycota; Neocallimastigomycetes; Neocallimastigales.